RNAcentral lists this ribosomal RNA (505 nucleotides) under uncultured bacterium. RNAcentral describes it as "partial 16S ribosomal RNA". It matches the Rfam family "Bacterial small subunit ribosomal RNA", at positions 28 to 507 of the family's 1533-position model. The record is from RNAcentral.
GACGAACGCUGGCGGCGUGCCUAAUACAUGCAAGUAGAACGCACAGUUUAUACCGUAGCUUGCUACACCAUAGACUGUGAGUUGCGAACGGGUGAGUAACGCGUAGGUAACCUGCCUGGUAGCGGGGGAUAACUAUUGGAAACGAUAGCUAAUACCGCAUAAUAUUAAUUAUUGCAUGAUAAUUAAUUGAAAGGUGCAAUUGCACCACUACCAGAUGGACCUGCGUUGUAUUAGCUAGUAGGUGAGGUAACGGCUCACCUAGGCGACGAUACAUAGCCGACCUGGGAGGGUGAUCGGCCACACUGGGAGUGGGACACGGCCCAGACUCCUGCGAGAGGCAGCAGUAGGGAAUCGUCGGCAAUGGACGAGAGUCUGACCGAGCAACGCCGCGUGAGUGACGAAGGUGCUCGGAGCGUAAUGCUCUGUUGUAAGAGAAGAACGGGUGUGAGAGUGGAAAGUUCACAUUGUGACGGUAUCUAACCAGAAAGCGACGGCUAACUACGUG